GGGACGGCACCGCCGCCGGGACCCAGAUAAGCAGCGGAGCAGCGCGCAGGGCUGGCAGCUCGCGGUACCACCGGCCGAUCUGCAAUCGCGGUGCACCGAACAAGCGCCUCAGGACGACAACACGCCGCGGGAGGCGGGGAGGUGACUCCCUUGCAGGUGCUUCUGCCGCCAGGACACCCACCACGGCGAUCUGCAGCAUUGCAGGGACAUCCCAGGGACAUCGGGAAUUAAGCUCGUCUGUGACUGUCUACUCGCAUCUCCUCCGCCACUAUUAAUUCCCGAACGGAGCCGGCUGGGAUGGCUGCCCACCCGCGGGGGAGCAAGGCCGGCUCACCCCGGCUGAGGACGAGCUUCUGGCCAAAGGUCGGGCACGGGGCCCGGAGCUGGGCGUCGGAGAGCUGGCACCGGAGCACCAGGCGGGCAGAGAGGAGAGGCUGAGUCCUUCCCGUGCCUGCCCUUGCUCCCGAAGGCGUCUCCAGGCCCGCAGCUCCUCUG
This 495-nucleotide long non-coding RNA is filed under the name Dromaius novaehollandiae (emu). RNAcentral's name for it is "lncRNA (ENSDNVG00000012797.1)". Lineage: Eukaryota; Metazoa; Chordata; Aves; Casuariiformes; Dromaiidae. The record is from RNAcentral.